AAUUCUCAACUCCAAUCGAUUUGUUUCGAUCCUGGAGCUUGGACUUGGAGCGUGCUGGCGUAUAGUCGGCUCCUCUCAAAUGCAUCGGCGGAAUUGAACCUUUGAUUUCCGGAUGUCAGUGUGAUAACCAAUGUUGCGCUGUCGACCGGGGUCGGAGUCCGCUUACAAUCGUCCUCGGGACAAAGACACCUUAUCAA
This 197-nucleotide unclassified non-coding RNA is filed under the name uncultured Piloderma. RNAcentral's name for it is "sequence contains ITS2". The record is from RNAcentral. Lineage: Eukaryota; Fungi; Basidiomycota; Agaricomycetes; Atheliales; Atheliaceae.